Molecule: transfer RNA, 61 nt
Filed under: Ictidomys tridecemlineatus (thirteen-lined ground squirrel)
Lineage: Eukaryota; Metazoa; Chordata; Mammalia; Rodentia; Sciuridae
Description: Spermophilus tridecemlineatus (thirteen-lined ground squirrel) tRNA
Rfam family: tRNA
About the family: Transfer RNA (tRNA) molecules are approximately 80 nucleotides in length. Their secondary structure includes four short double-helical elements and three loops (D, anti-codon, and T loops). Further hydrogen bonds mediate the characteristic L-shaped molecular structure. tRNAs have two regions of fundamental functional importance: the anti-codon, which is responsible for specific mRNA codon recognition, and the 3' end, to which the tRNAs corresponding amino acid is attached (by aminoacyl-tRNA synthetases). tRNAs cope with the degeneracy of the genetic code in two manners: having more than one tRNA (with a specific anti-codon) for a particular amino acid; and 'wobble' base-pairing, i.e. permitting non-standard base-pairing at the 3rd anti-codon position.
Source: Rfam by way of RNAcentral
UGUGGCUCAGUGGUAGAGCACUUGCUUCACAUGUAUGAGGCACUGAGUUUGAUUCUCAGCA